RNAcentral lists this ribosomal RNA (253 nucleotides) under uncultured bacterium. RNAcentral's name for it is "partial 16S ribosomal RNA". It matches the Rfam family "Bacterial small subunit ribosomal RNA", at positions 524 to 776 of the family's 1533-position model. The record is from RNAcentral.
UACGAAGGGGGCUAGCGUUGCUCGGAAUCACUGGGCGUAAAGCGCACGUAGGCGGAUUGCUAAGUCAGGGGUGAAAUCCUGGAGCUCAACUCCAGAACUGCCUUUGAUACUGGCGAUCUCGAGUCCGGGAGAGGUGAGUGGAACUGCGAGUGUAGAGAUGAAAUUCGUAGAUAUUCGCAAGAACACCAGUGGCGAAGGCGGCUCACUGGCCCGAUACUGACGCUGAGGUGCGAAAGCGUGGGGAGCAAACAGG